Long non-coding RNA from Melanotaenia boesemani (Boeseman's rainbowfish), 164 nucleotides. RefSeq lists it as uncharacterized. The record is from RefSeq and is a predicted model, not a curated record. The transcript is spliced from 3 exons. NCBI's taxonomy places the organism in Eukaryota, Metazoa, Chordata, Actinopteri, Atheriniformes, Melanotaeniidae.
CUUUUCUACAUGAUGAGGAAAAUUUAAAAAACCCACAGCCCCUCCCUCCAGAUACAGGUAGGCGGGGCCUCGCCUUGCAGACAUAGAAAGCCACGCCCACAAACCCAUAUGAAGGGAUGUGAGCUUAUCUGGUGUAGAUAUGCUAGUUUCAGACUUCUGUUCUU